This 284-nucleotide ribosomal RNA is filed under the name Acanthamoeba castellanii. RNAcentral describes it as "partial small subunit ribosomal RNA". It matches the Rfam family "Eukaryotic small subunit ribosomal RNA", at positions 827 to 1111 of the family's 1831-position model. The record is from RNAcentral. Lineage: Eukaryota; Discosea; Longamoebia; Acanthamoebidae.
UAUUUUCAGUUGGUUUUGGCAGCGCGAGGACUAGGGUAAUGAUUAAUAGGGAUAGUUGGGGGCAUUAAUAUUUAAUUGUCAGAGGUGAAAUUCUUGGAUUUAUGAAAGAUUAACUUCUGCGAAAGCAUCUGCCAAGGAUGUUUUCAUUAAUCAAGAACGAAAGUUAGGGGAUCGAAGACGAUCAGAUACCGUCGUAGUCUUAACCAUAAACGAUGCCGACCAGCGAUUAGGAGACGUUGAAUACAAAACACCACCAUCGGUUGCGGUCNUCCUUGGCGUCUCGG